GACGAACGCUGGCGGCGUGCCUAAUACAUGCAAGUAGAACGCACAGUUUAUACCGUAGCUUGCUCCACCAUAAACUGUGAGUUGCGAACGGGUGAGUAACGCGUAGGUAACCUGCCUGGUAGCGGGGGAUAACUAUUGGAAACGAUAGCUAAUACCGCAUAAUAUUGAUUAUUGCAUGAUAAUUGAUUGAAAGAUGCUAUUGCAUCACUACCAGAUGGACCUGCGUUGUAUUAGCUAGUAGGUGAGGUAACGGCUCACCUAGGCGACGAUACAUAGCCGACCUGAGAGGGUGAUCGGCCACACUGGGACUGAGACACGGCCCAGACUCCUACGGGAGGCAGCAGUAGGGAAUCUUCGGCAAUGGACGAAAGUCUGACCGAGCAACGCCGCGUGAGUGAAGAAGGUGUUAGGAUCGUAAAGCUCUGUUGUAAGAGAAGAACGGGUGUGAGAGUGGAAAGUUCACACUGUGACGGUAUCUUACCAGAAAGGGACGGCUAACUACGUG
This 505-nucleotide ribosomal RNA is filed under the name uncultured bacterium. RNAcentral describes it as "partial 16S ribosomal RNA". It matches the Rfam family "Bacterial small subunit ribosomal RNA", at positions 28 to 507 of the family's 1533-position model. The record is from RNAcentral.